RNAcentral lists this long non-coding RNA (929 nucleotides) under Equus asinus (donkey). RNAcentral describes it as "lncRNA (ENSEASG00005026045.1)". The record is from RNAcentral. Lineage: Eukaryota; Metazoa; Chordata; Mammalia; Perissodactyla; Equidae.
CUUAUUCAUCUCCUGGUUGCAAGUUUGUCCCCUUGAACAACAUCCCAGUUCCUCCGCCCCCAGCCGCUGUGCAUCUCACUUCCGACCAGCCCGAUUUUCAGGCACUCCAACGUCCUCAUGUGAGAUUAGCGGCCAUUGUAAUGGAUGACACAGAUCUAGAAGGCCGUGACACCAAGUUAUCCACGUAAUGGAACUUCAUUGUUGAUGCCUCGUCCAGUCCAUGACACUUCUAGGUUUCAUGCGCCCCGAUUGGAAGCCCUGAUUGGAAGCCCGCGAGGUCCAGUUCUUCAGAUAAUUGAAGCCCUGGGAAUGAAACCAGGCCAUCUGCUAACUUUGUCCUCACAUAUUUUUCUUAAAAAUGUGGCGAAGGGGCCGACCCCAUGGCCGAGUGGUUAAGUUCGCGCGCUCCUGCUUCGGCGGCCCAGGGUUUCGCCAGUUUGGAUCCUGGGCGCGGACAUGGCACCACUCAUCAGGCCACGCUGGGGCGGCGUCCCACAUGCCACAACUGGAAGGACCCACAACUAAAAUAUACAGCUGUGUACCGGGGGGCUCCGGAGAGAAAAAGGAAAAAAAAAAAUCUUGAAAAAAAAAAUUUGGCAAAAACCUAGUGGGAAGCACUUCAGCCAACCAGGGACUAGGUCUCUUACAGAACCUGGAUCUGAAUAAUGAAAGUGGAACCUAGGUACCUGCUGCUGCUGGAUCCUGCCACCAAUGUCAUUCUGUGGUCAGGACCAGCCCCCUUUUCUCUCUCGGCUUUCCCAGAUAUUUAACCUCUGCCCUCCAAAUUAGGGGUUCAUAGCAAGACCUUCAAAAAUCCCUGUGCUUCCCUUCUGCUCUUGAAUAGUGGAACUGUGUUCUUGAACUUGGUCAAAAAUAACUGAUUAGUUAUUUUUUACAAUCUGUGAGCAGCUGUUUGGGAAAAUACUUGG